Long non-coding RNA from Hippocampus zosterae (dwarf seahorse), 699 nucleotides. RefSeq lists it as uncharacterized. The record is from RefSeq and is a predicted model, not a curated record. The transcript has 2 exons. NCBI's taxonomy places the organism in Eukaryota, Metazoa, Chordata, Actinopteri, Syngnathiformes, Syngnathidae.
UUUUUUUUUGGGGGGGGGGGGGGGUUGAGGGUUAAAUGAGCCACAAGAGGAAUAAAAAGUUGUCCGUGGGGUGGAGGGUGUGGUGGUUGUUGGUGGGGCGCUCGGUCUUCCUUCAGUAUUCCCACUUUUCGCCGCCAAUAAAAGUUCAAGAUGGAAGUCGAUAAAUCCCGUCAAGGCGAGGGGAGAACCAGUUUGGCGCUUCACGCUCCAGUCCUGGGCCGAGAUGAGCGCGUGAGGGCGGCUGCGGAGUCCGGGGAAAGGAGCUUCGUGGAUGCGGGAGGUGUGUGUGUGUGUGGGGGGCGGGGGGGGGGUGUAGGACUAAGAGGGGCUGGCGGAAGAAGGUUGGAGGCGACCCCGUGCAUGGAUGUGCUUCUCCAAAGGGGUGGGAAGUGUAUGUGUGUGUGUGUGUGGGGGGGGGGGGGGGGGUGUAAGUACUCGAAUUCUCUUUCAAGGUCUUUAUUGUAAUCCUGCUUUUGUGGCGCCUGUAUCUGCUGAAAACACGCCUGUGUGAGUGUGUCAAGUGGAUCCAAACGAGGAGGAAUUCAUUCAGAUAGUAUUUGGAUUGAGCAAAAUCGUUAAAAAUGAAAAAAAAGGACAAAAAAAAAACAAGCGAUGUCGAGUCGAACGUGCAAAACGCUUGCAUUGAAAUAUUCUUGUUCUUGCUGGACAGUGAGAGCACACCUGUAAAGAAACACAAAA